RNAcentral lists this long non-coding RNA (2464 nucleotides) under Suricata suricatta (meerkat). RNAcentral describes it as "lncRNA (ENSSSUG00005018553.1)". Lineage: Eukaryota; Metazoa; Chordata; Mammalia; Carnivora; Herpestidae. The record is from RNAcentral.
UCUGUACCCAAUGUAGGGCUUGAACUCAUGACCCAGGUUCAAGAGUUGCAUGCUCUUCUGACUGAGCCAGUCACUCACCCCUUAAGAUUCAAAUCAUCUCUACACCUAAAGUGGGAUUCAAACUUAACACUUUGAGGUCAAGAGUUGCAUACUCUACCAAUUGAGCCAGGAAAGUGCCCCUCUUAGAAUUUCACUUUGGUUCUAUUUCAUCCAUUAGCUUACCUCUUCCGUUGGAGUAGGGCAUUAUCUUGAGUUUUCCCUAGAUCCUUCUCCUAUAACUGAAGGAAAGACGAAGAGCGGGGGUUGGCAGUAGAGUAGGGAAUAGACUGCAGUACAAUCAGAUCAGUGCAUCUCUUGGAAAGGGCUGAACUGCCUUGUGAUUAAAACGGUAAAAAGUUCUGGGCCAUUGGUUUGUAGGAGAGAAGUAGAUGGGGAGAGAAAGCCCUUUCUUCUUAGUGCAUGUGUAUUAAUAAUAGGUUAAGAAAGAACCAAUAUAAAAUGGCCCAAUUUAGCUUACACUAAGAAGAAUUAAUUUUUUUCUCUUACUUAACAGUUCUUUUUCUAGGAACAGAGAGUUGGGAGACGAGAAGGAGGGCCAGAAAGGCAGAGCCAGCUCUUCUUUCCUCAUUGGGCCUCUCGCCCACCCUGCAGCACGCCUGAGCGGAUGGAGGGAAGACCCAGUCCAUAAACAACACUUACGGCUUUGAUUUACAUGAUGGACUCAGUCAGGGUACGGUCUGUCCAUGAUUUCAUCCAGGGACAUCCAAUCCAAUCAUGUCCCCAUCUUGUCUCUUCAACGACAGCCAAGGGUCCUCAAGAAAAAAAACUCCAAACUUGUAGACUUGGUGAGAAAGCCCUGCAGGAUGUGGACCUCCACUCAGGUCUUCCAGGACACCCGCCCAAGGCCUCCUCUCGUCAGUGCCUUCGAUGAAGAGAUUCCUCUACCCGGUACGGCAUUCCUACCACAUCGCCUAGAUCCUACUCCUCCUCCUUCCAGCUUCACAUCAUGUGUCACAACCUGAAAAGUAUUCCCAGUCUGAUAUGAUUGUCCCUAAUUUUCUCUCCAUGGCAGGGCCUUACCUACAACCAUCUCCUCUAAAAAGAUACUCAUUUCUCUGGCCAUUCCACAGGCCAGGUUUCUAAAGAAGAAAACUUGCAGGGUUAUCAGUGAUUAAGGAUUUAAAUCAGCCCGUAAGUCCUCUGCAGGCUCCUGGUAAGACUGGCUCUUCCUUGCCUGAACACUGCCCAUUCAUUCAAGGGCCAGUAUUCAAGAAAACACCCAGAAAGAGCCCCAAGAGUUAAACUAUAAUCACACUUGGCCCCUCUCUACCAGACACAUCAUUCCCAAAAGGGGCUUGUGACUAAGACAAUCCCUUAUUUUGACCUACAAGGUCAAUAAUUCCAGCAUGCCUAGCAUCUUUCCAGACCCUAGCUACUUCCUAGAUUAUUCAAUGUUAUCUUUUAGUUCCUUCCACUGUUUUGGAGCAUCCUUUUUAUACAACCGAAAUAGCACUGACUCUGAAAGUUACCUAUUAUGCUUUAUCCAUCUAAACAUUAUAGUACUAUUUAAAAAUGUUUUAUUAAAAAUAUUUAGGGGUUCCUGGGGGGCUCAACUGGGUGAGCGACUGAUUUCAGCCUAGGUCAUGAUCUCGUCAUUCCUGAGUUUGGGCCCCACGUUGGCUCUAUGCUGAGAGCUCAGAGCCUGGAACCUGUUUCAGAUCCUGUCUCUCUCUCUCUCAAAAAUAAACAAACAUUAAAAAAGUUUUAUUUUUACUUUUAUUUUUUUUUAUGUUUUAUUUAUUUUUGAGAGCAACAGAGGCAGAGCAUGAGCAGGGGAAGGGCAGAGAGAGAGGCGGGGAGGCACAGAAUCUGAAGCAGGCUCCAGGCUCUGAGCUGUCAGUACAGAGCCUGAGGCGGGGCUUGAACUCACAGACUGUGAGAUCAUGACCUGAGCCAAAGUCAGAUGCUUAACUGACUGAACCACCCAGGCGCCCCCCAAAAAAUUUGUUUUAAAUAUUUAAAAUGCUGAGGAUUCUGUAUCCUAAUUGCAGUAGUGGUUAUAUAAAUCCACAUGUCAUAAAAUUUCAUAGUAACCCAAAAGAAUAAAUAAAAAUUAAAAAAUGAAUGUAUGUGAAAUCUGAGUUAGGUCUAUCUAUAGUUUUGUUCCUACUACCAUGCCAACAUCAAUUUCCUGGUUUUGACAAGUGUACUAAGAUUAGUUAAGAUGUAAUCAUUAGGGAAAGCUGGGUGAAGGGUACAGGGAAACUGUAUUUUUCUAACUCCUGAGUCUUAAAUUAUUUUGAAAUAAAAAGCUAAAAAGAAAUGGUAACAGUUUUAAAUAUGUAUGUCUAAUAACAGAGCCCCAAAGUACAUGAAGCAAACACAGAAUUGAAGAGAAAAACAGACAAUUCAACAAAUUAAGGACUUCAGUGCCCUACUUUCAAUAACGGAUAGCUCAACUAGC